RNAcentral lists this ribosomal RNA (469 nucleotides) under uncultured bacterium. RNAcentral's name for it is "partial 16S ribosomal RNA". It matches the Rfam family "Bacterial small subunit ribosomal RNA", at positions 28 to 507 of the family's 1533-position model. The record is from RNAcentral.
GACGAACGCUGGCGGCGUGCUUAACACAUGCAAGUCGAACGGAAAGGCCCUGCUUGCAGGGUGCUCGAGUGGCGAACGGGUGAGUAACACGUGGGUGAUCUGCCCCUUAUUUUGGGAUAAGCCUGGGAAACUGGGUCUAAUACUGGAUAGGACCAUGCUGUAGGUGGUGUGGUGGAAAGAUUAGUUUCGGUAAGGGAUGAGCUCGCGGCCUAUCAGCUUGUUGGUGGGGUAAUGGCCUACCAAGGCGUCGACGGGUAGCCGGCCUGAGAGGGUGGACGGCCGCAUUGGGACUGAGGUACGGCGCAGACUACUACGGGAGGAAGCAGUGGGGAAGAGUGCACCAUGGGGGCAAGCCGGAUGCAGCGACGACGCGUGGGGGAUGACGGCCUUCGGGUUGUAAGCUCCUUGCAGCCAUGAAGAAGCCCUUGUGGUGACGGUAGUGGUAGAAGAAGCACCGGCUAACUACGUG